AGCUCUUUCAUUUUAGCAAAAUUGUCAUUGACAUCUACUUGGGAGAGAAGAGCAGCAGCAGUCAUAUGCCCAGUGUAGUUUUUACUUGCCUGAACGCAGACCAAAUCCCUGCAGUUCAUCUCUGCAUUUCCCAGUUUACCUAGCAGAAGGCCUUGGACAUAAUGGGAAAUCAGUGAAUUUCUAAUAAAUGGACGGAUUCCUUCCAUAAAGAAAGGAGCUGAAAAGAUGACUAAUCAAGGCAAUUACCAGGGCCGGGACCCCACAAACCUCAGUUCUCUUUUAUCAACUGGAUCCCUGUGAGGAUUUGCCAAUAGAGGGCGAGAGAGGGAGACUCUGAGGCUGGAGCCAGAAGGGCAACCGCUCCCUAUGCACUUCGAUUCCUUUUUGUCUUACUGUUCCCUGGACAACCAUCCAGCAAUGGAACUUCACCCCAGCGGCAUCAGCGGAUUGCUCCACUAGCACAGGUGAGUCUCGUGUAUAUUCUUAACAACACGUGCAGAACCAGCACCAUUACACCCCCUAGACACCCCAGCACCAGCCAACCAGCGCCCCAUCCUAGAGGUCUGGGCCUUUCCCAAGGAUGCAGCCUUCAAGUUCCUAAGGCAAUGGUACAGCCGAGCAGUAACCUUCCUCAGAGGCGUGAGUCAGCUUUGCAGGACCCGUUCUCAAGCUUCUGCACCUUCAGGGCCUCAAACUCUUCCAUUUAUUCUCCAGUUUUAGGAUGAUAGCUGCUUCCCAGGACAGCUACUUCCUUAGUGUUUGUUCCUUGCCUUUUCAUUUUUUCAAUACCUGGUUGAUGAAUCUUGAUGUGAAGUUCUCUGUUAAAAUAACUGGUGCCAUUUCUGUCUCUUGACUGAUACCAUUCACCUUACAACCCUAUGAGGUUAUAUCCAUUUUUCAGAUAAGAAAAUGGAAACCUAGAGUAGAUGAAUAACUGGACUGAAGCCACAAACUAGUAUGAGACAAGAAUAGGGCUUAAACCCAAGUCUUUUCUGGUCACAAAGCCAUUGCUCUUUCAUUUUAUUUUAUUUUGUCUUUUCUAGGACUACACCAGUGGUAUAUGGCAGUUCCCAGGCUAAGGGUCUAAUCGGAGCUAUAGCUGCCGGCCUACACCACAGCCACUGUAACUCGGGAUCCAAGCUGCAUCUGCGACCUACAUACACUACACCUCAUGGCAACGCCGGAUCCUUGACCCACUGAGCAAGGUCAGGGAUCUAACCCACAACCUCAUGGUUCCUAGUCGGAUUCAUUAACCACUGAGCCAUGACGGGAACUCCCAGCCAUUGCUCUUUUAAACACAGCGUAGUUCUGCAAUGUGAAGGCAGCUCUAGUCAAAAGCUCUCUGUCCUCUUCCAGCACUGAUAUUAAAAUGGGUAGAAGCAAGGUAGGUCGUGUAAAUGCAAAAGUGAGCGCACCUGGCAGCUUUAAGAAGAUUUAUGACAUUGGGCCCACGUGAAUUCUAUUCCAAAGCACUGAAGGGACCGGCAGACAUGAUUUAAGAUACUGUAGUAAUCUCAAAAAAAAAAAAAAAGCAACUUGGGAGCUGCUUGACUCGUGGGCAAAGGUUAAAGACUCUUCCUUUUUCUAAAAUGGAUCUACAGAUAUUCAGUCUUCACAUUAAUCCCCAGCAAAAAUCUAGGAUUUCCUGUGUGUGCUUUUAACACAACCACCUGAUUCCUGAGAACAAGCAUGUGGAACCAACUAAGCUCAUUUACAUGCACAAAGUGCUUCGGGACGUGCUCUCAGGUAAAACAGUGAAGUGAGGAAUGGAUGAGGAUCAAGUUUUGUGUGUAAACAUGCUUGUCUGGAAAUAAGAAAAUAAGGGCAAAAUUCGAGGCAGUGUCGGCUGUAACUUUCAAAAGACAGAGCAGAGAGCAAACGCCAGUCUUCAUCGUCACUGCCAGCCAGGCUCCUCCUGUGUCUCCCAGGGGAAUGUAUCCAGGCUGGAGUGGGACCAACAAGAAAGAGGUCAUCAAGGUUGUCCUGAGGAUCAGACAUGGAAGGUAAGGCGGACCUGGCGUUUAUUACUAGAGAGAUGAGAGAAAUCUUCCAGACCUUGCUGUCAGAGGCUCCUUUCUAAGGGAGGAGCUCCAGGUUUCUCUUUGCAUCCCUGUCUCCAAGUGGUUAAGAUGGCAACCAUUGUAGUCAUUUGUUGGUUUUGCUGCCAUCAUCCAUUCCUCCUCCCUCUGGCAGCAGUUCCUUGAUCGUUCUUUGUGGGAACACUCUUUGCUUCAUUGGCUACAUUCUCUGUGAACAUCAAGAAGUCCCACUGCCAGCCCCGGCCUGAAGUGAGUAUGGGUCCCAAGGCAGGUCCGUCAGAUUCUCUCCCUUAAAAUAUGAAUCCCUGAUCAGAAACAAAAGACGAAAAACAGUUGUUGCUGGAACAAUAGCAGCGCCUUGAAAGACUGUUCAUUGGUUCCUGCUGUUUGGAUACACACAAGCUGCCUCUGUUCUGCUCUCUCUGGGUCUGAUUCUUCCAUUUCCUCAUCAGUUUUCUGAGCUACUCCAUUUCCCUUAAAUAGAUCCAUUUUCAGAUAGGGCUUUUGUUCAUUAGUUUGCUUGCUUGCAGCUGAGGAAUCUUCACUGAUUCCACAAGUUGUGCUGGUAAGGGAAAAUUUAAAGCUUUUCUGUAAACGUUACAGGACUCUCGUUCUAGGCUGUCUCUAGUUACACAUACCCACCACAGAGAUAUGGGGAAGCACAUCGUAACUUUUGUACAUCCAGGGACUGAGUUCAUCUCGUUCACCAUUAGAUCUGAAGUGCCCAGCACAGUGGUAGAUGAUACAUAAAAUUAGUUGCAUGAAUAAAUGGAAAUAGAAGGAACUUUCCAAUGGUUAGUUUAAUAGUGGAAUUACUAUACCAUGGAGUAGUGAGCUUUCUGUCACUUCAGAGAUUUAAAUAGAGCCUAGAUCUCUUAAGAUGAUGGGGAAAAAAGGAUUCCUUCAUUGAGUAGGUGGUUUCCACAAAGCAUUCUAAUUCUGGAUUUGUAAUUCCAUAAUUACUUCUUAUUUGCUCUUAGGAAAUACAUCUUAAAGCAAAAAUAGAACACUGUGUGCAUUAAGAUAAUAUAUAGAGUAGGAACUCCCACUGCGGUGCAACAGAAUUGGUGGCCUCUCUAGAGGGCUGGGAUAUAGGUUUGAUCUCUGGCCCGGCACAGUGGAAAACGAUCCAGCGUUGCUGCAGCUUUGGCUUAGAACGAGACUACGGCUCAGAUCUGACCCCUGGCCCAGGAACUCCAUGUGCCUCGAGUAGCCAAAAAAGAAGAAAAAAAAAA
RNAcentral lists this long non-coding RNA (3274 nucleotides) under Sus scrofa (pig). RNAcentral's name for it is "lncRNA (ENSSSCG00060007909.1)". Lineage: Eukaryota; Metazoa; Chordata; Mammalia; Artiodactyla; Suidae. The record is from RNAcentral.